Molecule: non-coding RNA, 71 nt
Organism: Russula earlei
Lineage: Eukaryota; Fungi; Basidiomycota; Agaricomycetes; Russulales; Russulaceae
Source: the annotation of a GenBank genome assembly
GGCUGGAUGGCUCAGUGGUUAGAGCACUUGGUGUAUCUGGAGGUCCCGGGUUCAAUCCCGGGUAAUGGACU